Molecule: transfer-messenger RNA, 409 nt
Filed under: Bacteriophage DSS3_MAL1
Lineage: Duplodnaviria; Heunggongvirae; Uroviricota; Caudoviricetes
Description: transfer-messenger RNA, SsrA
Rfam family: Alphaproteobacteria transfer-messenger RNA
About the family: Bacterial tmRNA, also known as 10Sa RNA or SsrA, is named for its dual tRNA and mRNA-like properties. Its role is to liberate the mRNA from a stalled ribosome.
Source: RNAcentral
CUUUCUUGGUGGUGCUCGCACCACAAGACGCACGUAAAUCCUCAGACCUGAGGACACUUCUGGACCGGGGGGCGGUACCCCGCGGCUCCACCAUAUGCUCACUUCCUGCUAGGGGACGCCCUUUCAGGGCCUUGGCGGAUACCCGGUUGAUCGCCGGAGAAAGCGGUUCGAAACCGUUGUGAGCAUUUGAUGGGGCCGAAAUAGGAUCGACAGGGUGGAUAGGGAAAGCGGCGUGCCGGUGAGAAACACCGUUAUCGUUCAAACUUUACAACUGCAAACACCAACGCAGCUCCGAUGGAGAUGGCAAUCGCUGCCUAAGCUCUGCUUAGUCAGUCUUGUCUGAACUCAUCAUGGCGCUUCCCGGCGAGCGUAGCAACAGAAUCGUCGGACCUAAUUCAAAUUCCUCGGU